This is a long non-coding RNA of Cyprinus carpio carpio, 3105 nucleotides long. NCBI's taxonomy places the organism in Eukaryota, Metazoa, Chordata, Actinopteri, Cypriniformes, Cyprinidae. The record is from Ensembl.
AAAAAGAGAAUCAGAAAUUAAGACACAGAAAGUGGGUAAGAGGGAAAAAAAACUAAAGAAAAAGUCAAUCUUAAGGAGAAGAAACAGAAAUGGAGGAAGGUAGAGGGAGGAAAAGGAAGAGGGCACGUGCCGAUGUUGCUCAUGUCUGCAGAUGAGCACAGACACCCGAGGGAGGCGAUGUCAGUGUGGAGGCUAGAGAUUCAAAGAAACGUCACACAUGAAAAGGGAGAGUGGUAAAGUGAGAGACGCGCGUGGGAGAUUAAUCCUGCCUCCUGUUGGGCAGCCUGUUGUGCCAAUGUCAAAAUAACCACUGUAUUCACAAAACACCAAUUACUGUAAUAAUAAUAAUAAUGUACCAAAGUGCAUCAGCUACAUUGAUAUGCUGACAGCUCUUUUGACAGCUGCAUUCAAAAGACAUGAAUGGAAAUGUUCACAUAGUGCUAUGGAAAGAGAAACUUCAGCAAUACUGACAUUCGGUGGGACACAAAAUACGCCUGGCUAGACAAGGUGUUUGUGAGAGACACUAAAGAUCAUAAUCUAUUUUCAUGCUCUCCAUCAAAAGAAGCUGAAAGAGGCUGUGGUCCUGUAUGCAUUUAUUGUAUGAAGAAUGAGAUAUUGUUUAUUAUAUAUUUCAGACCAGCUGUGCACCUGAGCCACAGGAAGUAAAAAAAAUAUUCACAAAUUUCUCAAACCAAAGAACAUUUUGAGGCAUUAGAAUUCUAGAUGAUUUGAUGCAUGGUAUUUUAAUUAAAUGUGUACACACACACACACACACACACACACACACACAUAUGCAUGGGACCUGAGGGUACGUGCAGGAUUGAGAAGGAAGAUCUAUAGGGAAGGAGUGAUAAUGAGGUCUUAGUCAGAGUACUGCAGGCGAUGGACUGAGGUAAAGAAAAACACACUGUCUUAAUCACAUAUUUCAAUGAAGCCUUUGUAAUGUGAAUUCAACUCUUUUACAAGAAAGUCUCCCUUAGGUAGUGUGGUGAAGAGGAAAAAAUAAAGGAAAUCCACAAACUAGCACAUUCUGUGCUAGUCUAAACUACAUUUAAACAUUUAGCCAACACUUCAGAGACUUCAAGGUACACAAGCAGUUCAUGCAUUGUAGAUUCGCAAAAUAAUGGUAAGAUUUCUCAUCUCAAUGUUGUAUGCAGAAAAGAAUCAAUAAAAUACCAAAAAUCAUAAAUACAAUAAAUAUAUGAAUUGCAACUAAAAUGAUUAUUGUUUCUAAAGGCCAAUUCACACUGCACCGACAGACACAGACCAAUGCCACUUCUCAGACAUUCCAAGAUCCGACAAUGCCAAUUCAACAUGUUCAAUCAGUGAAAAAAAGUGUCAACAGAUGCCAGCGGGGUGAAUGUGUCUGUUUCUGUUUGUCUGCUUCUGUCGGUGCAGUGCAAAUUGGCCUUAACAGGUUUCCUGAACACCUAAAAAAAUAUAUUUUUGUCAACUUCAGAUAUGUACUGUCACAAUAAGAGUCACACCAGAAUGAAACACAGCAUCAGUAGUUGGCAUCCAAGACGUUGUUAAAAAUGGGAUGUAUACCUACAGUAUAAGGCCAAUUUUCAACCCCUGUUGUCUAAACUUACUGUAAAUCCAUGAUCAAUUUCACUUCCUAUUUCUCUUGUGGGUAGAGUAAAUGCAAUUAAGAUGAUAUUUCUCCCGCAAUUUCUGUAUAUGGUGCAUAACAUUCCUGUAUUUAUGCCCAAAUCUUUUUUCAAAAAACUGGACUCUAUCGUGGUUCCCAUAGGGUUUCUAAAUUCCACCUGUGUAAACCCAAAAUACUGGGAGGGCUCAGCCUACCUAAUUUUCUUUAUUAUUAUUGGGCUGCAAACCUGAGGGCCUUGACGUCAUGGAUAGAUUUGACUCCGGUGGGGGAGAUUUGGUUGGUGUUGGAACAGGAGGAAUGUCUCCCAUAUUCUAUUAAUGCAAUACUUUUAUCACCCAAAGGUAUAGCUAGUUCACUUUAUAAUCAUAACCCUGUUAUUCAUAAUUCUGUUUGUAUUUGGAAAAAGUUAAUGAAACAUUUCAAAUUCACCCAAAUGUUAUUUUUGCUGUCUAUCUCAGCUAACCCCUCUUUUUGCCUUUCAAUGUUAGAUAGUGCAUUUUAGUUUUGGACAAAUUUAGGGUUAAGAAACAUAGGGGAUUUAUAUGUAAAUGGAAAAUUUGCUUCCUUUCUUAGGAGCUGUGUGAGAAAUACAGUUUUCCAUCUAAUCACUUCUUUAGGUACCUUCAAAUAAGAGACUUACAUUUUCGUACAUUUAACAUUUCUAAUUAUGUCAUAGCUACACCCAUGUAUCUGGACACAUUUCUGGAAAGAUGUCUUAGCGUUGCUCUACAAGGGUUUAGAACAUGUGAAAAGUCCAUCUAUGGAGAACGUUAAAUCUGCCUGGGAAGAAGAACUUGCAGUAGAAAUUCCUAGUAACACAGAUGUUCCAUUAAUGCAAGACAUUGUCUCAUUCAGUUUAAAGUGACUCAUAGGCUUCAUUAUUCCAAGUGUAAAUUGAAUAAAAUAUUUCCAGAAGUGUCUCCACUGUGUGGCAAAUGUCAGUUUUUAGAUUCCAGCCUGUCUCAUUAUAGAGUUUCUGGAACAAAAUAUUCCAAGUUUUUUCAGAUACAUUCGACAUUCCUAUUGAUCCAGAUCCUAUAUUGAUUAUGUUUGGAGUUUCCAAAGAAUUUUUGACAUGUACACGGUUACAACAACAGUUUGUUUCAUAUGGGUGGAUCUCUGCCAAAAAAAAACUAUUCUUCUGUUUUGGAAGAAAAGAGAAGUUCCAACUCUUAAAUUAUGGCUGACAGAGUUGACGGGUACGCUACAUUUGGAAAGAAUCAGGUACACCCUAAUAGACAAGAUUUUGUUAUUUGAAACAAUUUGGUCCCCUUUUGUGCGCUUUCUACAAACCUGUGAUUAAUAUGUUUAUUAUGCCUUCAGUAUCUACUUUUACCACUGGAUAGCACUUAUGGGUCAAGUUUUUGGGUGGGGGGAAAUGUAUUUACAUUUUUUGUUAAAUUAUUAUUUUCAUGACUAUCGUUUGUUUUUUUAAUUUUUAUUUGUUAAAAUGUCAUUUGUAUAUGUUUGUAUUUAUAAAGUGUAAUUACAAG